RNAcentral lists this ribosomal RNA (90 nucleotides) under Phaseolus vulgaris (common bean). Lineage: Eukaryota; Viridiplantae; Streptophyta; Magnoliopsida; Fabales; Fabaceae. The record is from RNAcentral.
ACGGCAUCGCUCAACUCCGCAGUUAGCGUGCUUGGGCGAGAGUAGUACUAGGAUGGGUGACCUCCUGGGAAGUCCUCGUGUUGCAUUCCC